Molecule: ribosomal RNA, 442 nt
Filed under: uncultured bacterium
Lineage: Bacteria
Description: partial 16S ribosomal RNA
Source: RNAcentral
GACUACUGGGGUAUCUAAUCCCAUUCGCUCCCCACGCUUUCGUGUCUCAGCGUCAGUGUCGUCCCAGCAAGCUGCCUUCGCUUUUGGUGUUCCUGCUGAUAUUAACGGAUUUAACCCCUACACCAGCAAUUCCACUUGCCUCUUCCGAACUCUAGUUUAUCCAUAUCUCCCGCGGCCUCAAGGUUGAGCCUUGAGAUUUAACAGGAGAUGUUAUAAACCGCCUACACACUCUUUACGCCCAAUAAAUCCGGAUAACGCUUGGGGCCCUCGUAUUACCGCUGCUGCUGGCACGAGGUUAGCAGCCCCUUAUUCAACCGGUACCGUCAGUAUUUCGUCCCGAUUAAAAGUAUUUUACACCCCGAAGGGCUUCUUCAUACACGCGGCGUCGCUCCUUCAGCCUUUCGGCCAUUGAGGAAUAUUCUCGACUGCAGCCCCCCGUAGG